ACCUGGUCUACUGAGGCUUUAUCUGCUUUCGAAACGCUCAAACAGUCUUUUGCCUCAGCACCUGUAUUAGUUCAUCCUGAUACCUCUCUACCCUUUUUACUUGAAGUUGAUGCGUCUGAAACAGGGAUAGGCGCAGUGUUGUCCCAAAGACAAAGUUUAGAUAAGCCGCUGCACCCUUGCGGUUUUUUUUCCAAGAAACUAUCACACACUGAAAGGAGAUAUGACAUUGGUGAUAGAGAACUGUUAGCUAUCAUUAUGGCAUUAAAGGAAUGGAGACAUUUGUUAGAGGGCACUGUCCUCCCAGUUACUAUCUUAACUGACCACAAAAAUUUAUCGUAUAUGGGGGAGGCCAAAAGAUUAUCUGCCAGGCAGGCACGUUGGUCUAUGUUCCUUACACACUUUUAUUAUAUGCUUACUUACAGGCCUGGUUCUAAGAACACUAAGGCAGACGCUUUGUCACGUCAGCACGAACCUAUCACCUCUACAGAGGACACUUUGUUCCCUAUUAUUCCUGAAGUCAAUAUUAUCGCCAACACCAAUGUCAAAAUACACUCUCCAUUGCUCGCUGAUAUUAUGAACGAACAAUCUCUUGCUCCCGAACGUACUCCUGUGGGCCGCUUGUUCGUGUCUCCCAAAUUCCAAGUGGACAUUAUUCGCUGUUUUCACGAUAGCAAGUUCGCUGGUCACCC
Pelobates cultripes (western spadefoot toad) is the source of this 689-nucleotide non-coding RNA. NCBI's taxonomy places the organism in Eukaryota, Metazoa, Chordata, Amphibia, Anura, Pelobatidae. The record is from the annotation of a GenBank genome assembly.